AUUGAACGCUGGCGGCAGGCCUAACACAUGCGAGUCGAACGGCAGCACAGAAUAGCUUGCUCUUUGGGUGGCGAGUGGCGGACGGGUGAGUAAUGUCUGGGAAACUGCCCGAUGGAGGGGGAUAACUACUGGAAACGGUAGCUAAUACCGCAUAAUGUCGCGAGACCAAAGUGGGGGACCUUCGGGCCUCACACCAUCGGAUGUGCCCAGAUGGGAUUAGCUAGUAGGUGGGGUAAUGGCUCACCUAGGCGACGAUCCCUAGCUGGUCUGAGAGGAUGACCAGCCACACUGGAACUGAGACACGGUCCAGACUCCUACGGGAGGCAGCAGUGGGGAAUAUUGCACAAUGGGCGCAAGCCUGAUGCAGCCAUGCCGCGUGUAUGAAGAAGGCCUUCGGGUUGUAAAGUACUUUCAGCGGGGAGGAAGGCGGUGAGGUUAAUAACCUUGCCGAUUGACGUUACCCGCAGAAGAAGCACCGGCUAACUUCGUGCCAGCAGCCGCUGUAA
RNAcentral lists this ribosomal RNA (506 nucleotides) under uncultured bacterium. Its description in RNAcentral is "partial 16S ribosomal RNA". It matches the Rfam family "Bacterial small subunit ribosomal RNA", at positions 30 to 523 of the family's 1533-position model. The record is from RNAcentral.